UACAGAGGUCCCAAGCGUUGUUCGGAAUUACUGGGCGUAAAGGGCUCGUAGGUGGCCAACUAAGUCAGACGUGAAAUCCCUCGGCUUAACCGGGGAACUGCGUCUGAUACUGGAUGGCUUGAGUUCGGGAGAGGGAUGCGGAAUUCCAGGUGUAGCGGUGAAAUGCGUAGAUAUCUGGAGGAACACCGGUGGCGAAGGCGGCAUCCUGGACCGACACUGACACUGAGGAGCGAAAGCCAGGGGAGCAAACGGG
Molecule: ribosomal RNA, 253 nt
Filed under: uncultured bacterium
Lineage: Bacteria
Description: partial 16S ribosomal RNA
Rfam family: Bacterial small subunit ribosomal RNA
Source: RNAcentral